Molecule: non-coding RNA, 21 nt
Filed under: Arabidopsis thaliana (thale cress)
Lineage: Eukaryota; Viridiplantae; Streptophyta; Magnoliopsida; Brassicales; Brassicaceae
Source: RNAcentral
UGAUCAGACAUUUGCCAUAAU